UGGUGCAGUGGUUAAGCACUUGGCUGUGAACCAAAAGAUCGGUGGUUCGAACCCACC
Molecule: transfer RNA, 57 nt
Filed under: Loxodonta africana (African savanna elephant)
Lineage: Eukaryota; Metazoa; Chordata; Mammalia; Proboscidea; Elephantidae
Rfam family: tRNA
About the family: Transfer RNA (tRNA) molecules are approximately 80 nucleotides in length. Their secondary structure includes four short double-helical elements and three loops (D, anti-codon, and T loops).
Source: Rfam by way of RNAcentral